This is a long non-coding RNA of Balaenoptera acutorostrata (minke whale), 515 nucleotides long. RefSeq lists it as uncharacterized. Lineage: Eukaryota; Metazoa; Chordata; Mammalia; Artiodactyla; Balaenopteridae. The record is from RefSeq and is a predicted model, not a curated record. The transcript has 2 exons.
GUGGAAAAGUAGUGAGUACUGAGUCAGAGCGGAGAAAAGUGUCCUGGAGAUUUCCCACUCCUCCCCGACAAGGAGAUCUAGGCAGCGGCACCUGAGGAAGGCCCCAGAUAACCUCAAACAGCCACUCUGUCCAGAAGAACAUUCACAGGGCGCCCACGUGACAAUGCCCUGUCUUGGGCACCAUGGGGCCCAGAGGUGAAUGGCGACUAGUGAAUGAAGUCAUACGAGGGGGACCCCUGGCGACCAUCUUCUAGUCCACAGUACGGGCGAAACGUGAAGACCAAAAAGGCCUCCCGGCCGUCUCCUCCCCAGAUGUGUGAUCCCGUUUCCUCUCUUGCCUCCAUCCAGGCAUCAUUUUCCAAGUGUUCAAUACUGCUUUGAACCCUCCUACGUGAGCUCUAAGCAUUUCCGCGGGACCUUUUGCUGUGUACCUCAUAAAUGAGCACUGUAUUCUAGACAGGUGCCGUGGAGUUUAAAAGUAAUGGAAUAAAUGCAUAUGUUACGCAGUUAUUAAA